This 253-nucleotide ribosomal RNA is filed under the name uncultured bacterium. Its description in RNAcentral is "partial 16S ribosomal RNA". It matches the Rfam family "Bacterial small subunit ribosomal RNA", at positions 524 to 776 of the family's 1533-position model. The record is from RNAcentral.
UACGUAGGGUGCAAGCGUUAAUCGGAAUGACUGGGCGUAAAGGGUGCGCAGGCGGUUUGUUAAGACGGAUGUGAAAGCCCCGGGCUCAACCUGGGAAUAGCAUACGUGACUGGCAAACUAGAAUAUGGCAGAGGGAGGUGGAAUUCCAUGUGUAGCAGUGAAAUGCGUAGAGAUGUGGAGGAACACCGAUGGCGAAGGCAGCCUCCUGGGCCAAUAUUGACGCUCAGGCACGAAAGCGUGGGGAGCAAACAGG